UUUCCAGUGUAGCGGUGAAAUGCGUAGAGAUUGGAAGGAACAUCAGUGGCGAAGGCGGCCACCUGGACAGAUACUGACGCUGAGGUUCGAAAGCGUGGGGAGCGAACAGGAUAAGAUACCCUGGUAGUCCACGCCGUAAACGAUGUCAAUUAGCCGUUUGUGGUUUUAAACCGUGAGUGGCGUAGCUAACGCGCUAAGUUGACCGCCUGGGGAGUACGGCCGCAAGGUUAAAACUCAAAUGAAUUGACGGGGGCCCGCACAAGCGGUGGAGCAUGUGGUUUAAUUCGAUGCAACGCGAAGAACCUUACCAUCCCUUGACAUCCAGAGAAGUUACUAGAGAUAGUUUCGUGCCUUCGGGAACUCUGAGACAGGUGCUGCAUGGCUGUCGUCAGCUCGUGUUGUGAAAUGUUGGGUUAAGUCCCGCAACGAGCGCAACCCUUAUCCUUAUUUGCCAGCGAGUAAUGUCGGGAACUUUAAGGAGACUGCCGGUGAUAAACCGGAGGAAGGUGGGGACGACGUCAAGUCAUCAUGGCCCUUACGGGAUGGGCUACACACGUGCUACAAUGGCGUAUACAAAGGGCUGCAAGACCGCGAGGUGGAGCGAAUCCCAUAAAGUACGUCGUAGUCCGGAUUGGAGUCUGCAACUCGACUCCAUGAAGUCGGAAUCGCUAGUAAUCGUAGAUCAGAAUGCUACGGUGAAUACGUUCCCGGGCCUUGUACACACCGCCC
This 729-nucleotide ribosomal RNA is filed under the name uncultured bacterium. Its description in RNAcentral is "bacterial SSU rRNA". It matches the Rfam family "Bacterial small subunit ribosomal RNA", at positions 667 to 1395 of the family's 1533-position model. The record is from RNAcentral.